Molecule: ribosomal RNA, 913 nt
Filed under: uncultured bacterium
Lineage: Bacteria
Description: bacterial SSU rRNA
Rfam family: Bacterial small subunit ribosomal RNA
Source: RNAcentral
UAGUUGGUGGGGUAAAGGCCUACCAAGGCGACGAUCAGUAGCGGGUCUGAGAGGAUGAUCCGCCACACUGGAACUGAGACACGGUCCAGACUCCUACGGGAGGCAGCAGUGGGGAAUUUUGGACAAUGGGGGCAACCCUGAUCCAGCCAUUCCGCGUGAGUGAAGAAGGCCUUCGGGUUGUAAAGCUCUUUCAGCUGGAACGAAACGGUACAUCCUAAUACGGUGUGCUAAUGACGGUACCAGCAGAAGAAGCACCGGCUAACUACGUGCCAGCAGCCGCGGUAAUACGUAGGGUGCGAGCGUUAAUCGGAAUUACUGGGCGUAAAGCGUGCGCAGGCGGAUUGUUAAGCAAGAUGUGAAAUCCCCGGGCUUAACCUGGGAAUGGCAUUUUGAACUGGCAGUCUAGAGUGUGUCAGAGGGGGGUGGAAUUCCACGUGUAGCAGUGAAAUGCGUAGAGAUGUGGAGGAACACCAAUGGCGAAGGCAGCCCCCUGGGAUAACACUGACGCUCAUGUACGAAAGCGUGGGUAGCAAACAGGAUUAGAUACCCUGGUAGUCCACGCCCUAAACGAUGUCAACUGGUUGUUGGGGGAGUGAAAUCCCUUAGUAACGAAGCUAACGCGUGAAGUUGACCGCCUGGGGAGUACGGUCGCAAGAUUAAAACUCAAAGGAAUUGACGGGGACCCACACAAGCGGUGGAUGAUGUGGAUUAAUUCGAUGCAACGCGAAAAACCUUACCUACCCUUGACAUGUCCAGAACCCUGCAGAGAUGCGGGGGUGCCCGAAAGGGAAUUGGAACACAGGUGCUGCAUGGCUGUCGUCAGCUCGUGUCGUGAGAUGUUGGGUUAAGUCCCGCAACGAGCGCAACCCUUAUCAUUAGUUGCUACGCAAGGGCACUCUAAUGAGACUGCCGG